RNAcentral lists this ribosomal RNA (2904 nucleotides) under Escherichia coli. Its description in RNAcentral is "bacterial LSU rRNA". The record is from RNAcentral. Lineage: Bacteria; Pseudomonadati; Pseudomonadota; Gammaproteobacteria; Enterobacterales; Enterobacteriaceae.
UUAAGCGACUAAGCGUACACGGUGGAUGCCCUGGCAGUCAGAGGCGAUGAAGGACGUGCUAAUCUGCGAUAAGCGUCGGUAAGGUGAUAUGAACCGUUAUAACCGGCGAUUUCCGAAUGGGGAAACCCAGUGUGUUUCGACACACUAUCAUUAACUGAAUCCAUAGGUUAAUGAGGCGAACCGGGGGAACUGAAACAUCUAAGUACCCCGAGGAAAAGAAAUCAACCGAGAUUCCCCCAGUAGCGGCGAGCGAACGGGGAGCAGCCCAGAGCCUGAAUCAGURUGUGUGUUAGUGGAAGCGUCUGGAAAGGCGCGCGAUACAGGGUGACAGCCCCGUACACAAAAAUGCACAURYUGUGAGCUCGAUGAGUAGGGCGGGACACGUGGUAUCCUGUCUGAAUAUGGGGGGACCAUCCUCCAAGGCUAAAUACUCCUGACUGACCGAUAGUGAACCAGUACCGUGAGGGAAAGGCGAAAAGAACCCCGGCGAGGGGAGUGAAAAAGAACCUGAAACCGUGUACGUACAAGCAGUGGGAGCACGCUUAGGCGUGUGACUGCGUACCUUUUGUAUAAUGGGUCAGCGACUUAUAUUCUGUAGCAAGGUUAACCGAAUAGGGGAGCCGAAGGGAAACCGAGUCUUAACUGGGCGUUAAGUUGCAGGGUAUAGACCCGAAACCCGGUGAUCUAGCCAUGGGCAGGUUGAAGGUUGGGUAACACUAACUGGAGGACCGAACCGACUAAUGUUGAAAAAUUAGCGGAUGACUUGUGGCUGGGGGUGAAAGGCCAAUCAAACCGGGAGAUAGCUGGUUCUCCCCGAAAGCUAUUUAGGUAGCGCCUCGUGAAUUCAUCUCCGGGGGUAGAGCACUGUUUCGGCAAGGGGGUCAUCCCGACUUACCAACCCGAUGCAAACUGCGAAUACCGGAGAAUGUUAUCACGGGAGACACACGGCGGGUGCUAACGUCCGUCGUGAAGAGGGAAACAACCCAGACCGCCAGCUAAGGUCCCAAAGUCAUGGUUAAGUGGGAAACGAUGUGGGAAGGCCCAGACAGCCAGGAUGUUGGCUUAGAAGCAGCCAUCAUUUAAAGAAAGCGUAAUAGCUCACUGGUCGAGUCGGCCUGCGCGGAAGAUGUAACGGGGCUAAACCAUGCACCGAAGCUGCGGCAGCGACRCUKAUGYGUUGUUGGGUAGGGGAGCGUUCUGUAAGCCUGYGAAGGUGUGCUGUGAGGCAUGCUGGAGGUAUCAGAAGUGCGAAUGCUGACAUAAGUAACGAUAAAGCGGGUGAAAAGCCCGCUCGCCGGAAGACCAAGGGUUCCUGUCCAACGUUAAUCGGGGCAGGGUGAGUCGACCCCUAAGGCGAGGCCGAAAGGCGUAGUCGAUGRGAAACAGGUUAAUAUUCCUGUACUUGGUGUUACUGCGAAGGGGGGACGGAGAAGGCUAUGUUGGCCGGGCGACGGUUGUCCCGGUUUAAGCGUGUAGGCUGGUUUUCCAGGCAAAUCCGGAAAAUCAAGGCUGAGGCGUGAUGACGAGGCACUACGGUGCUGAAGCAACAAAUGCCCUGCUUCCAGGAAAAGCCUCUAAGCAUCAGGUAACAUCAAAUCGUACCCCAAACCGACACAGGUGGUCAGGUAGAGAAUACCAAGGCGCUUGAGAGAACUCGGGUGAAGGAACUAGGCAAAAUGGUGCCGUAACUUCGGGAGAAGGCACGCUGAUAUGUAGGUGARGUCCCUCGCGGAUGGAGCUGAAAUCAGUCGAAGAUACCAGCUGGCUGCAACUGUUUAUUAAAAACACAGCACUGUGCAAACACGAAAGUGGACGUAUACGGUGUGACGCCUGCCCGGUGCCGGAAGGUUAAUUGAUGGGGUUAGCCGCAAGGCGAAGCUCUUGAUCGAAGCCCCGGUAAACGGCGGCCGUAACUAUAACGGUCCUAAGGUAGCGAAAUUCCUUGUCGGGUAAGUUCCGACCUGCACGAAUGGCGUAAUGAUGGCCAGGCUGUCUCCACCCGAGACUCAGUGAAAUUGAACUCSCYGUGAAGAUGCRGUGUACCCGCGGCAAGACGGAAAGACCCCGUGAACCUUUACUAUAGCUUKACACUGAACAUUGAGCCUUGAUGUGUAGGAUAGGUGGGAGGCUUWGAAGUGURGACGCCAGUCUGCAUGGAGCCGACCUUGAAAUACCACCCUUUAAUGUUUGAUGUUCUAACGUUGACCCGUAAUCCGGGUUGCGGACAGUGUCUGGUGGGUAGUUUGACUGGGGCGGUCUCCUCCUAAAGAGUAACGGAGGAGCACGAAGGUUGGCUAAUCCUGGUCGGACAUCAGGAGGUUAGUGCAAUGGCAUAAGCCAGCUUGACUGCGAGCGUGACGGCGCGAGCAGGUGCGAAAGCAGGUCAUAGUGAUCCGGUGGUUCUGMAUGGAAGGGCCAUCGCUCAACGRAUAAAAGGUACUCCGGGGAUAACAGGCUGAUACCGCCCAAGAGUUCAUAUCGACGGCGGUGUUUGGCACCUCGAUGUCGGCUCAUCACAUCCUGGGGCUGAAGUAGGUCCCAAGGGUAUGGCUGUUCGCCAUUUAAAGUGGUACGCGAGCUGGGUUUAGAACGUCGUGAGACAGUUCGGUCCCUAUCUGCCGUGGGCGCUGGAGAACUGAGGGGGGCUGCUCCUAGUACGAGAGGACCGGAGUGGACGCAUCACUGGUGUUCGGGUUGUCAUGCCAAUGGCACUGCCCGGUAGCUAAAUGCGGAAGAGAUAAGUGCUGAAAGCAUCUAAGCACGAAACUUGCCCCGAGAUGAGUUCUCCCUGACYCYUURAGRGUCCUGAAGGAACGUUGAAGACGACGACGUUGAUAGGCCGGGUGUGUAAGCGCAGCGAUGCGUUGAGCUAACCGGUACUAAUGAACCGUGAGGCUUAACCUU